GGGACACACAUGGGAGGAGACGCUCCCGCUGAAUUCAGAAGAACGCUGACACAUUCGCCUGUUGAAGGUUCUUUUUUUAAUUUUUUUAUCUUCCAUCCUUUUUUGCUGCAUUUUGGGAUUGUUUUGCACGGACGCGCUGCAGGGACCGUGCGUGUCAUUUAUGUAGUGGAGGAGACACGGGCUGGAUUUUAUAAACCCUCGCCGGACCGAUGAGCUCAUCUUCGUGCUCUUGCGUAUUUACGGGGGCGUUAAGGAUGCGGCUGGUGGACUGGGUCAAGGUACCUGCUGUCUUCGAAUCACACCGGCUUGGUUCGUCGGUCUGAUCCCGUCCAAGUCUGUGUGUCCACGAGGACCACGACUGUGCGUGAAUCUUUUUUUUAAUAUUUUUUUUAAUUUUUUAUUCCCCCCCCCCCCUGCACAUUGGAUCCGACACCUGCAGCAGACAGGAUGGAUAACUAUUCUACUUUGCAACUACAGUGUCUGGAAAUGACCACAAAACGGAAACUGAUUGGUCGGCUGGUGCCAUGUCGUUGUUUCCGCGGGGAGGAGGAAGUGAUCUCGGUGUUGGACUACUCUCACUGCAGUCUGCAGCAAGUGCCCAAGGAAAUAUUCAGCUUUGAGAGAACUCUGGAGGAGCUGUAUCUGGACGCCAACCAGAUUGAAGAACUACCCAAGCAACUAUUCAACUGCCAGGCCUUGAAGAAGCUGAGCAUGCCUGAUAACGAUUUGUCCAACCUGCCAACCACCAUUGCCGGCCUGGUUAACCUCAAAGAGCUGGACAUCAGUAAAAAUGGUAUUCAGGAGUUUCCAGAUAAUAUCAAAUGCUGUAAAGGCCUGUCAGUGGUCGAGGCCAGUGUCAACCCUAUCACCAAGCUCCCAGAUGGUUUUACACAACUCCUGAAUCUGACUCAACUCUUUUUAAACGAUGCCUUCCUGGAGUAUUUGCCCGCAAAUUUUGGCAGACUCUCCAAACUUCGGAUCCUGGAGCUGAGAGAGAACCACCUGAAAACCAUGCCAAAGUCCAUCCAUCGACUGACACAGUUGGAGAGGUUGGAUCUGGGAAGCAAUGAAUUCUCUGAAGUGCCAGAGGUGUUAGAGCAGAUCCACAACCUUAAGGAGCUGUGGAUGGAUAACAACUCUCUACAGUCAAUACCGGGGUCAUUAGGGAAACUUCGCCAGCUGCGCUACUUAGACCUAGCUAAGAAUCGUAUUGAGAAUUUGGACACAGAUGUUUCAGGCUGUGAGGCCUUGGAGGAUCUUUUGCUAUCCUCCAACAUGCUUCAGCACCUCCCUGACUCUAUAGGAAUGUUAAAGAAGCUGACAACACUAAAGGUAGAUGACAACCAGCUGACCUCACUACCAGGCACAAUCGGGAGCGCGAAGCCCAAGCAAGGUCUCAGCUUGCUGGAGGAAUUGGACUGUAGCUGUAACGAGCUGGAGUCUCUGCCUCCAACCAUUGGCUACUUGCACAGUCUGAGGACAUUUGCGGCUGAUGAAAACUUUCUGGUAGAACUUCCCCGAGAGAUCGGUAACUGUAAGAAUGUGACGGUGAUGUCGCUGCGCUCCAACAAACUGGAGUUCCUUCCCGAUGAGAUCGGACAGAUGACCAAACUACGGGUCCUAAACCUUAGUGAUAACAGGUUAAAGAAUUUACCGUUCACAUUUACCAAGCUGAAGGACCUGGCAGCUCUCUGGCUUUCUGACAAUCAGUCCAAGGCUCUGAUCCCCCUGCAGACAGAAGCCCAUCCUGAAACCAAACAGAAGGUUUUGACCAACUACAUGUUUCCUCAACAACCUCGACAUGAUGAGGAUUAUCAAUCAGACAGUGACAGCUUUAAUCCGACUCUGUGGGAGGAGCAGAGACAACAGAGAAUGACUGUGGCCUUCGACUUUGAGGACAAGAAAGAAGAAGAAGACAACUCCGGGAAGGUCAAGGUGGAGAUAAACCUCAAACGCUACCCAACACCAUAUCCUGAAGAUCUGAAAAACAUGGUCAAGUCAGUGCAAAGUCUUGUGGGUAAAAAUAUCCACACUGGACAUGGGCACCAGCAUCAUCUUAGCACUGGCACUGCCACCUCAGCAGGAACGAACAUGGAACUUACGCACCACAGCAAUGAACAAUAUGAACCACCAUGGCCCCUCCCUCCUAAAGAGGUAACAGACAGAGAGAUGCAGGACUUCUCUCAGACUCAGUUAAUGGACCAGGGACUGAUGCAUAACUCUGGCAUUGACAUUCCAAAGAGGAAGGACAAAGAGGACAUGACAGAGAGCUCAGAGGACUCAAUGGGCGGCUCACCCAAUGACAUCCGCAUAUCUGAUAUGAGGCCCACCCUGGUGGAGCCACCGAUUUACAAACCAAAGGUGGUGCUGCUUGGCAAGGACAAGAAAGAGUCUACGGAUGAGGAGGUGGAUAAGCGCCACUGUCUGAACCACAGUGGCUCCUCGGCCACCUACUCGGACUACUCUCCCUCACAAGGCUCCUCUGGCUCCUCCAACCCGCCCGCUAACGCACACUCGCACACACACUCGCACGCACACUCGCAUGCACACACUCAUGCGCACCAACAUAACCCUGCCCUACCAGCACCCAACAAGGAUCAAGCUCUUCAAACACACUGGACCAAUAGGCUGGCCCAGUCUUUCCCCAAACCUAUUGACUCCAAGCCCUUGCUAUCACAAAGAGAAACUCCUCCAUCAGGGACACUGCAGCAACGUGGUGACAGACGUCCACUAAGUGAGCCUUUUGAGUGGUCUGAGGUUCCUCACUAUGACAACACCGGUUUUGAUGCAGAGGAGUCUCCCCUAAACCAUUCAUCUUCUGCUUCGAGCCACGGAAACCCUCAGCUGGGUUCCAAACCUCGGAGCCAGUCCACACAUGGCCGCCGUCCUCUACUGAGGCAAGAGCGGAUUGUAGGCGUACCGCUGGAGCUGGACACACAGACGCUCCCCUUUCACAGUAACCAACGCUCCGCCCAUGACAAUGAUCCCCAAGGCUCUGCACAAGCAUCUCAGAAUCCUUGGCAGAAUUGGACCCGCACCCCAAGCCCAUUGGAGGACAGGACAGCGUUUCCGUCCAAAUUGGACCUGACGCCAACCUCAAGCCCCAACCCAGACCGCAAGGUGGCAGACACAAGGCGGGAGCAAGGGACGGGGCCUCUGCCUGGCAGCUGGUCAUACCACAAUAACCAGGGAGAGCAGAACAGAAAGGACCAGCUGACCGUCACCGGCGGCAACAAGGUAACCGUGGUAAUGAGUAAAAGCUCUGACCGACUGUCACCUAUGAUGAAGGAGACGCGAUCCAAGUUUAAGAAAUCCCAGAGCAUUGAUGAGAUCGACAUAGGCUCCUAUAAAAUAUACAGUAUUCCUAUGGACACCUACAGUUCCUCCAUUGAGCAGCAGAGCAGUUUGGACCGACAAGACCUGGCAGGUUCCAUGGAGCAGACCAACAUGGCUCGGUCCCAGUCUGCACCUAUGCUCGAUGAGGAACUUGCAUUCCAUGCACAUAGCAACCAGAACCAGCAGGGGCAUAACCAGAAACCCGCGGUCCCACACAAGGCCUACCAUUUUGACCAAAACUAUAACCCCCAGGUGACAAUGGAUCGCCGGGCCCCUCCCCCUUUUCCCAACACACCAGAUUAUGUUAAUCACUCAUCAAAAGCAUUGGAGUAUAUCAAUCAACCUGGAAAGACAUUACCCAAGGAGUUGGUGAGCCCUCGGUACCGCGCUUACCCACCCUUGGAGAUGUUCUCUUUCCCCCAAUCGCCAAUAAAUCAGGAUGGUUCCACCAGCCAGCAGCAGCAGCAGCAGCAGCAGCAGCACCCAAUCCCAUCGCAGCGUUCCAGGCCAGGGUUUUUGAGGAGAGCAGACUCACUGGUUAGCUCAACCGAACUCGCUUUGUUCCGUCGAGUUCACGAAGCCCAGCAGGAGGCCCUGCAGGAAGCUCAGUAUAGACAGCAGGGUGACCCUCCUUUAUAUAGUCGUGCUCUUGCUUACUCCAGCCCUAUGGAUCAUUCUUCCAACAUGGUAGACAGCCAGAGUCAAAUGAUGCACAACAAGAGAAAUGGCCGGUAUGACGACGAUUACACAGACUACCAGGAACAGAAGAAGCCAAUGAUUGGUUACCCGACUAAAAGCUUGACUCAACGUCGCCCCCUGUCAGCAAGAAGUUACAGCACCGAGACCUAUGGAGCAUCUCAGGCACGUCCGGUGUCAGCUCGUCCCACUAUGGCCGCCCUGCUGGAGAAGAUGCCUCCCGACUACACUCUGGCAACCUGCCCAGAGAAGCCUUUAGAUGACACCAUCAAAGUAAGACCUGUGGUACAGCAGAAGCCUGAAGACAUCACGUCCAAGAUGCCUGCAGAUUGGAGACAACAGCUGCUCAGGCACAUAGAGGCCAAGCGCCUGGACAGGAGUGGUGUCCUAAAGCACAAUACUCUCACGCUGGGCAUGCUCUGUCAGGGCGGGGGUCACGGCCAGGGGCGCAGCGGCACUUUGAACUUUAACGUUUACAAUAACACUAAGCAUGAGCCCCCUGCUGGCCGCUGGCUGCCACUACCAUCUCCUCCAUCUGCUAUUGCUACCCCCUCUCAACAAGCUGCCAUGCUGGAUAAUGACCAAGAGGGUGUGUCAGGGAGCAAUCAGUGGGUUCCGUACUCACUUGGCAGGAGGGACGUCCCACCCGACAACCUCAUGAAGAAGGCCAGUCACUCCCACAACCCUUCUCAUCAGUCACACAAUACCAUGAUCGUCACUUCUUCGUCCUCUACCUCGGCCAUGACACCUCAUCGCAUGGUUGGCCAACAGGGUUAUGAUGGCGGGAUGAUGAACAAGGGGAGCCAAUACCAGCCAGGAAUGCCAUUAUCGGUCGUUCCAUCUGGAGGGCAGUACCAAGGCAACAUGUCUCAAGCCCAUAAAACCACUGGCCAGGUCUACCAAAGUACUGGCCUACCCAUGGCCUUGUCGUCAUCCGGGAACCAACCUCAGUACAACCCACAUAUGUCUCACACGUCCCACCAGCCUCAGCUCCCACACAACAACCCCCAGUACCACAGUAACCAGGGAAUGGUCCAGAGCAACCAGGUUGUUGUGACCACUCACACCAACCCACGGCCUCAGAGCGCCCGCUGCCUUCUGCAGACAAAAGGCCAGAAGAGCACCGAUGGUUUCCAGGAACAGGUACAUCAGUCUAAAGCAGCCUCAUCUGCUGCUCUUUUAAAGAUCAAUUCUGAAGUUAUGUGUGAGAAUAGAGAAGAACCCCGGUCUUGGUUUUAGUAUCUCUGGUGGCAUCAGCGGCCAGGGGAACCCCUUCAAACCCUCCGACAUGGGUACAGCAUGACGGGCCCGCUGCAACCGCUCUGAAGCCUGGAGACAAGAUACUGCAGCAUGUGUGUAGCUCCUCCACUUUUCUCUCUUUUCCCCAACAGUGAUGUGUUACUGAGCUAAUGAUGGCAGUGAACCUCCAUCCUUCCACACAAAAAAAGCACUGCAACGUACAUAUCUAUAGAUGCAUGCGCACACACAUGCUGCUGACUGUGCUGCGUGUUUGCCUUGCAGGCUAAUGGACAUAAUUUUUUACACAUGGAGCACGAGACAGCCGUCUCUCUGCUGAAGAGUUUCCAAAGGACGGUGGACUUGGUGGUUCUGAGAGACAGCAGCCCUCCCUAGAAAUACCUUUAUAACAAUAAACAAACAUCACUUCUGUGCUAGUCACCAUCACUCACCACCCCACCUGCUCUCUGCUGGAGGCUGGUGGAACUGAAAAAAAAAUGAGCCUCCUUUUAAAAAAAAAAAAAAAAAAAAAAACUUUUUAGGGGAAUGCAGACUUUUUUGUGUGUGCCUAUUGCUGGAUCAUAGGCAAAUAAUCGUGCCAAAUGUAACAUAGGAAACAUAUUCGUCUACUGGCGAGGGAUCUGAUUAACGGCCUAAAGGACCCCAAAGGACUGCAGUAUACAACUUAAGUUAUCACAGGGCUGCUCCAGUUUAAUUUUGUGUUUGAGUUGUUAUUUAGACAUCUAAUCUAAAUGUAUGUGGCCUUUUUUGUUUGGUUGUUUGGUAUCUAGAAAUGGAGUAUGAUGAGCUUUUGUUUUAUGACUUAUUCUUGGUAUUUGUUUGAAUUCCUAAAAAACACAUACUUCUAUGUUCUUCAAUGUCUUUUUGCUUAGAGUACUGUAAUCUGAUUUACUCCCCCGGUUUGAUUUUUAUUAUAAUGUUGUUCCGACAUCUGCGUCUAGUGUACGUUAAUGAACAUUUAAAACAAAACAACAAACUUCUGCCUUGUGUACAUACAUUGAGCAGCAGCUUUCCAGUGCUGCCAUAGGGGCCUAAACAAGUUGUGUUCAUAUUGUUCAUAUUGUUUUUGAAACCAUAAGUCUUGUGAACACACCCUAAACACAUUUCUUUUCUAUGGGUUGAAUAAGCGUUUUUAGUUCAAGCCAUCGUCACUACUGUUUACAUUGUGUUCGGCAAACGGCCUGCUUUACAGCUGUGCUACAAAAAGAGCGAAAGCAAUACUGAUAUUUUGAAGCUGCUGUCUAUUGAGCUUUGCGGCCGAGUCUAACGUGUCCUAUAGUGCCAUCUAAUGAGAAACUCAUGCUCAUGUUUACACGGUCACAUAACAUACUGUAUAUGCAAUGCUGCCCUCCACACGUGUGAAGUGAUUUUGGAAUCCUGAUCUUAGACUCUCCCAAACACAUAUGUACUCUGUAAUACUAUCCAUACUGUUUGUUUACAGCGUUUGUGUUGUACUAUAAACACACAGAAUGCAAUCAUUUCACUGUUCAUUUUGGACAGAGAGAGUCAAGGAGCUAGGACACACUGCAGACAUAUGGUGAGGAUGAUGUUCUAUAUUUGGUCCAAAAUGAAGCCUUUCAUCCUCCCAAGCGAUAUUUACACAAGCCCAAAAUACCAGAACUUACAUUUUUGCAGCCCACAUCUGGUCUGGCAGCAUUGCCAGCGAGUGAGUAGCCGAAAAAAAACAAGACUCUGUUUUGCUUAAAGACGCAGUAUGCAGGAUUUUAAGGGAUUUAUCGGAAUAACCAUAACAAAUUAUUCAGUGUCAUUGUUGUUUUUGUGACCAUUUGAUGAGAAGCUCUUUUUUAAUUAAAUGACAAAAUCCGACACACCAGUUCUUUAAAAUAGAGUACAAAGAAAUACAUUCUGUAAGUGAAUAUUGUCAUUUAUCCAGGUAGUUGUACUCUGAGGGCAUUGAGUGUAUUGCAAUUGGACUGUUCAUGUUUUCUCAGAUGACAUUUUGGCUGAGAAGAUGGUGCAGGAUCCAAGUAUUUAACCUCUGAGGUAGAGCCCCCCAUAAACAAUACCAUCUCCUUAAAAGAGGGAAUCCAUUCUUGGUUGGGGAGGGGGAAAUACAUACUUGGAUCCCCUCAGAAAUGACAGAGCCUGCUGUAAUGAGAGCUGAAACGUCUAACCUAAACAAUCUAAACCAGGGGUGUCAAACUUAUUUUAGUUUGGGGGCCACAUUGAUAAAAAUCUACUCCCAAGUGGGCCGGACUGGUAAAAUCACGGCACGAUAACUUAAAAAUAAAGACAACUUCAGAUUGUUUUCUUUAUUUAAAAAUAAAACAAGCACAGUCUAAAAUUGUACAAAUCAUAAUGUCGUUGUUGUUAUUUUUUUACAUGUACAUGUUGCGGUUAAUAGUAUUCUCUCUUUAUCGUUAUUUAUAUUUUCUGAAGAAAUCAUGUGAUAAUGUUCAUCGUUCAACUCAUUGGUAUUAAUUUUCAAUAUAUCCAGAUAAAAAAUUUUAUAUCAAAAUUAAAUUACAGUAUGUUAUUUAUGUAGUUGAAUCAUUUUCCUAGACUGAUGCACUAACAUCAUGUGGUUUAUUUUGUACAUAUGUAGCAUCAUCUACAAAGAUACAAAGAAUUGCUUUUGCAACAUCCAGUGGACACAUCCAGAACAGCUGUUUCUUUCAUUCAUACUCAUUCCGCAGGCUGGAUAAAACCUGUUCGCGGGCCUGAUCCGGCCCUCGGGCCGUACGUUUGACGCCCUGGUCUAAACACUCCAGUUGCGAUUGGUUCAAUGUCCAUAGUGAGUGUUAAAUACACAUUUGAUGGUCAUAUAAAUGGAUCAACUGCAUAGCACACAUAUCAUGCGUGUCAAGACUUUGUUGUCUAUGAAUUGCAUCAAGUCAGGCCCCACACACCCCACCGCAAAAUGUGUCAAUGAUGUUUCACCAAAUUGUACAGUUAAAAUGAAUUGGGUGUGACCACAGCUUCCAACUCGAGCUAAUUUAAAAUUUAAAAAUGUGAAAGGUAUUUUGAUGCGAAGAAAUAAAUGGUUUGAUAAUAUAAUUAUUUUACUACGUUUCAGGUAAUUAUUUCUAAAUAUAUUGCUAUACCUUGCGUUGCUCAAAGGUUGUGAUAUUUUAUGAUGACUCUUAUGAUAUUGUGAUGGAUGAAGGUACGCACAGUAUGACUUGGGAACCUAAACAUGUACCAUCUAAAACUGUAAAAAAUGUAUUUUUUUGUAAUUGUAUUUUGUGUUAUACAAAUAUAUAUAUAUAUAUAUAUAUAUAUAUAUAUAUAUAUAUAUAUAUAUAUAUAUAUAUAUAUAUAUAUAUAUAUAUA
Molecule: RNA transcript, 8583 nt
Organism: Nerophis ophidion (straightnose pipefish)
Lineage: Eukaryota; Metazoa; Chordata; Actinopteri; Syngnathiformes; Syngnathidae
Gene: lrrc7
Gene name: leucine rich repeat containing 7
Exons: 33
Source: RefSeq, a predicted model, not a curated record